This 489-nucleotide long non-coding RNA is filed under the name Drosophila guanche. Lineage: Eukaryota; Metazoa; Arthropoda; Insecta; Diptera; Drosophilidae. The record is from RNAcentral.
ACGGUGCCAACGGUGCCAAUGUACUUUCUGGAAGGGUGUCAUUAUCAUAGCAUAAUGAAAAAAGUAAAAAGAUGCAACAAUUUCGUGCACUUUCUGGCAUCAACAAUUUGGUGUAAACAAAUAAUUGUUUUGAUGGCGAAAUAAUUCCGAUGGACACGUGCAGCAGCCUCUGAAGGUGAAUGGGAAGGGGGGAAAGUGGGUGAGUUGUAGUUGUUGGUCAAACGUCAUCUCGCUCUCACGAGCUUAGUCAGAGGCAUGAAGAAACUAUAAGGAGGGCCCGCCGGCUCUCGAAUGGGAAACGCAACAAUGCUGUCAAUAGGUGCUAGUGAAAGGGCGUGCAGAGAGAGAGAGAGAGAGCAACUGUACAAGAAUAAGAGUACAAGCUGCUCAUAAUUGCGGCCCACCACAGUCGUGGCACUGAGCUGUAAGUGUGACUGAAACGACAAUGGAGUAUGCCGAUUAACCUUUUGAAUGCAAUGUGAAAAAGCC